This 76-nucleotide transfer RNA is filed under the name Schaalia canis. RNAcentral describes it as "Actinomyces canis tRNA-Thr". It matches the Rfam family "tRNA". Rfam says of the family: Transfer RNA (tRNA) molecules are approximately 80 nucleotides in length. Their secondary structure includes four short double-helical elements and three loops (D, anti-codon, and T loops). The record is from RNAcentral. Lineage: Bacteria; Bacillati; Actinomycetota; Actinomycetes; Actinomycetales; Actinomycetaceae.
GCCACCUUAGCUCAGUUGGUAGAGCGCCCGCCUUGUAAGCGGACGGUCGCGGGUUCGAGUCCCGCAGGUGGCUCAA